Molecule: ribosomal RNA, 683 nt
Filed under: extreme arid zone bacterium HX-IE11
Lineage: Bacteria
Description: bacterial SSU rRNA
Rfam family: Bacterial small subunit ribosomal RNA
Source: RNAcentral
AGUCCAUGCCGUAAACGUUGGGCACUAGUGUGGGGACAUUCCACGUUUUCCGCGCCGUAGCUAACGCAUUAAGUGCCCCGCCUGGGGAGUACGGCCGCAAGGCUAAAACUCAAAGGAAUUGACGGGGGCCCGCACAAGCGGCGGAGCAUGCGGAUUAAUUCGAUGCAACGCGAAGAACCUUACCAAGGCUUGACAUGGACUGGAAAUACCUGGAGACAGGUGCCCCGCUUGCGGCCGGUUCACAGGUGGUGCAUGGUUGUCGUCAGCUCGUGUCGUGAGAUGUUGGGUUAAGUCCCGCAACGAGCGCAACCCUCGUUCUAUGUUGCCAGCGCGUGAUGGCGGGGACUCAUAGGAGACUGCCGGGGUCAACUCGGAGGAAGGUGGGGACGACGUCAAAUCAUCAUGCCCCUUAUGUCUUGGGCUUCACGCAUGCUACAAUGGCCGGUACAAAGGGUUGCGAUACUGUGAGGUGGAGCUAAUCCCAAAAAGCCGGUCUCAGUUCGGAUUGGGGUCUGCAACUCGACCCCAUGAAGUCGGAGUCGCUAGUAAUCGCAGAUCAGCAACGCUGCGGUGAAUACGUUCCCGGGCCUUGUACACACCGCCCGUCAAGUCACGAAAGUUGGUAACACCCGAAGCCGGUGGCCUAACCCCUUGUGGGAGGGAGCUGUCGAAGGUGGGAUCUG